AUUGAACGCUGGCGGCAGGCCUAACACAUGCAAGUCGAGCGGAUGAAGGGAGCUUGCUCCUGGAUUCAGCGGCGGACGGGUGAGUAAUGCCUAGGAAUCUGCCUGGUAGUGGGGGAUAACGUCCGGAAACGGGCGCUAAUACCGCAUACGUCCUGAGGGAGAAAGUGGGGGAUCUUCGGACCUCGCGCUAUCAGAUGAGCCUAGGUCGGAUUAGCUAGUUGGUGGGGUAAAGGCCUACCAAGGCGACGAUCCGUAACUGGUCUGAGAGGAUGAUCAGUCACACUGGAACUGAGACACGGUCCAGACUCCUACGGGAGGCAGCAGUGGGGAAUAUUGGACAAAGGGCGAAAGCCUGAUCCAGCCAUGCCGCGUGUGUGAAGAAGGUCUUCGGAUUGUAAAGCACUUUAAGUUGGGAGGAAGGGCAGUAAGUUAAUACCUUGCUGUUUUGACGUUACCAACAGAAUAAGCACCGGCUAACUUCGUG
RNAcentral lists this ribosomal RNA (484 nucleotides) under uncultured bacterium. Its description in RNAcentral is "partial 16S ribosomal RNA". It matches the Rfam family "Bacterial small subunit ribosomal RNA", at positions 30 to 507 of the family's 1533-position model. The record is from RNAcentral.